UAUUUAUUUAUUUAUUUAUUUGGAAUUUCUGAAAUUAGUAAAGGGAAGGGAAGCUUUUAGUGUUUAAAUCUUUACUUCCUGUAAUGUAAGAACAAGAGAUAAAACCACCCUGAGGAGUGAAAAUUAAGGACACUAGAGAGGAAAUUGAGAGUAGAGUAAGAGUUUUCGAAAGAAAUAAAGAGGAAAUUUUGUCUUAAUUAGAUCUAACAUGUACUUGCUAUGAUCGAUGUUAUUACAAAUUUUCAUGAUUGAAAGGAA
Molecule: unclassified non-coding RNA, 258 nt
Filed under: Hevea brasiliensis (rubber tree)
Lineage: Eukaryota; Viridiplantae; Streptophyta; Magnoliopsida; Malpighiales; Euphorbiaceae
Source: RNAcentral